Molecule: ribosomal RNA, 256 nt
Filed under: uncultured bacterium
Lineage: Bacteria
Description: partial 16S ribosomal RNA
Rfam family: Bacterial small subunit ribosomal RNA
Source: RNAcentral
UACGAAGGUGGCAAGCGUUGUUCGGAUUUACUGGGCGUACAGGGAGCGUAGGCGGUUGGAUAAGCCCUCCGUGAAAUCUCCAGGCUUAACCUGGGAACUGCAUUUGUGACUGCAUGGCUAGAGUUUGGCAGAGGGGGGGUAGAAUUCCACGUGUAGCAGUGAAAUGCGUAGAUAUGUGGAGGAACACCGGAUGGCCGAAGGCAGCCCCCUGGGUCAAGACUGACGCUCAUGCACGAAAGCGUGGGGAGCAAACAGG